GAUGAACGCUAGCGGCAGGCCUAAUACAUGCAAGACGAACGGUAAGUUGAGUAGCAAUACUUAGCCAAGAGUGUCGUACGGGUGCGUAACACGUAUGCAACCUACCCUAUACAGGAGGAUAGCCUAGGGAAACCUGGAUUAACCCUUCAUAGUAUUAUUGGAUGGCAUCAUUUGAUAAUUAAAACUGAGGUGGUAUAGGAUGGGCAUGCGUCUGAUUAGUUAGUUGGCGGGGUAAUGGCCCACCAAGACGAUGAUCAGUAGGGGUUCUGAGAGGAAGAUCCCCCACACUGGCACUGAGAUACGGGCCAGACUCCUACGGGAGGCAGCAGUAGGGAAUAUUGGUCAAUGGAUGCAAGUCUGAACCAGCCAUGCCGCGUGCAGGAAGAAGGCCUUCUGGGUUGUAAACUGCUUUUGCCAGGGGAUAAAAUUUCCAUGCGUGGAAACUGAAGUACUGGUGAAUAAGCCACGGCUAACUACGUGCCAGCAGCCGCGGUAA
RNAcentral lists this ribosomal RNA (496 nucleotides) under uncultured bacterium. RNAcentral describes it as "bacterial SSU rRNA". It matches the Rfam family "Bacterial small subunit ribosomal RNA", at positions 28 to 523 of the family's 1533-position model. The record is from RNAcentral.